AGAGUUUGAUCAUGGCUCAGGACGAACGCUGGCGGCGUGCUUAAUACAUGCAAGUCGAGCGAGGUUACUGCAUCAGAUUCCUUCGGGAUGAAGAAGCUUUAACCUAGCGGCGGACGGGUGUGUAACGCGUGGGUAACCUACCCUAGAGAUCGGGAUAACAGCGGGAAACUGCUGCUAAUACCGGAUGUCUCUACGAGAAGGCAUCUUUUAGUAGAGAAAGCGAUAGCGCUCUAGGAUGGGCCCGCGUCCCAUUAGCUAGUUGGUGAGGUAACGGCUCACCAAGGCGACGAUGGGUAGCCGGCCUGAGAGGGUGGACGGCCACACUGGGACUGAGACACGGCCCAGACUCCUACGGGAGGCAGCAGUAGGGAAUAUUGCGCAAUGGAGGAAACUCUGACGCAGCGACGCCGCGUGAGCGAUGAAGGUUUUCGGAUCGUAAAGCUCUGUCCUUGGGGAAGAAGGUCUUCGGACUUGACGGUACCCAAGAAGAAAGCCCCGGCUAACUACGUGCCAGCAGCCGCGGUAAUACGUAGGGGGCAAGCGUUGUCCGGAAUUAUUGGGCGUAAAGGGUGCGUAGGCGGCCUUUUAAGUCAGAUGUGAAAGCCCGCGGCUUAACUGCGGGAUUGCAUUUGAAACUGGGAGGCUUGAGUAUCGGAGAGGGUAGUGGAAUUCCCAGUGUAGCGGUGAAAUGCGUAGAUAUUGGGAGGAACACCAGUGGCGAAGGCGACUGCCUGGACGAAAACUGACGCUGAGGCACGAAAGCUAGGGGAGCAAACAGGAUUAGAUACCCUGGUAGUCCUAGCCGUAAACGAUGGGUACUAGGUGUAGGGGGUUUCGAUACCUUCUGUGCCGCAGUUAACGCAUUAAGUACCCCGCCUGGGGAGUACGUGCGCAAGCAUGAAACUCAAAGGAAUUGACGG
This 920-nucleotide ribosomal RNA is filed under the name uncultured bacterium. Its description in RNAcentral is "bacterial SSU rRNA". It matches the Rfam family "Bacterial small subunit ribosomal RNA", at positions 8 to 916 of the family's 1533-position model. The record is from RNAcentral.